UGGGAUCAAUGGGAUGGAUGGGAUCAUUGGCGGGGUCAUGGGAUCGAUGGAUGACAUGGGUGGGAUCAGGGAUGGGAUCAUCAGCAGCAUCCAUAGGGUCAGUGGGAUCAGUGGGAUGGAUGGGAUCAUCAGUGGGGUCAUGGGAUCAUCAUCAGCAUCCAUGGGAUCAGUGGGAUCAGUGGGAUGGAUGGGAUCAUCAGCGGCAUCCAUGGGAUCAGAGGUAUUGCUGGGAUGGAUGGGAUCAUCACUGGGGUCAUGGGAACAUCAGUGGCAUCCAUGGGAUCAGUGGGAUUGAUGGGAUGGAUGGGAUCAUCAGUGGCAUCCAUGGGAUCAGUGGGAUCAGUGGGAUGGAUGGGAUCAUCAGUGAGGUCAUGGGAUCAGUGUGAUCACUGGUGUGGAUGGGAUCAUCACUGGGAUCCAUGGGAUCAGUGGGAUCGUUGGGAUAGGUGGGAUCAUCAAUGGGGUCAUGGGAUCAAUGGUUGACAUGGGUGAGGUCACUGGUGGCAUCAGUGGGAUCAGUGGGAUUUCUGGGAUGGAUGGGAUCAUUGUUGGGAUGGAUGGGAUCAUUGUUGGGGUCAUGGGGUC
Molecule: long non-coding RNA, 585 nt
Filed under: Gallus gallus (chicken)
Lineage: Eukaryota; Metazoa; Chordata; Aves; Galliformes; Phasianidae
Description: lncRNA (ENSGALG00010010126.1)
Source: RNAcentral